Molecule: long non-coding RNA, 268 nt
Organism: Drosophila miranda
Lineage: Eukaryota; Metazoa; Arthropoda; Insecta; Diptera; Drosophilidae
Exons: 3
Source: RefSeq, a predicted model, not a curated record
GCGAGCUUUUGAAAGUGAACAAUCGAUCAGCUGAUUGUGGGAAAAAAAUUGGCGCCAAAUUACUUGUUUACAUUUUUACGUGGCGAUCGAGUAAAUUUGCUCAAAUAAAUUCGGCUAAAAAUGGAAAAUGAAGAUAAAGAAAAUUUAACUGCGUCCCCUGUGUUUCGUAGAAUAUAACAAAUGAACUGAGUUCUGCUGAGAAAAACUAACUAUGAAAGUUCGAGUUUUUGCAUAGCGAUCUCAUCGAUAUUUGGCGCAACAACAAUCG